ACGGAGCAACGCCGCGUGAGUGAAGAAGGUCUUCGGAUCGUAAAACUCUGUUAUUAGGGAAGAACAAAUGUGUAAGUAACUAUGCACGUCUUGACGGUACCUAAUCAGAAAGCCACGGCUAACUACGUGCCAGCAGCCGCGGUAAUACGUAGGUGGCAAGCGUUAUCCGGAAUUAUUGGGCGUAAAGCGCGCGUAGGCGGUUUUUUAAGUCUGAUGUGAAAGCCCACGGCUCAACCGUGGAGGGUCAUUGGAAACUGGAAAACUUGAGUGCAGAAGAGGAAAGUGGAAUUCCAUGUGUAGCGGUGAAAUGCGCAGAGAUAUGGAGGAACACCAGUGGCGAAGGCGACUUUCUGGUCUGUAACUGACGCUGAUGUGCGAAAGCGUGGGGAUCAAACAGGAUUAGAUACCCUGGUAGUCCACGCCGUAAACGAUGAGUGCUAAGUGUUAGGGGGUUUCCGCCCCUUAGUGCUGCAGCUAACGCAUUAAGCACUCCGCCUGGGGAGUACAACCGCAA
RNAcentral lists this ribosomal RNA (514 nucleotides) under uncultured bacterium. RNAcentral describes it as "bacterial SSU rRNA". It matches the Rfam family "Bacterial small subunit ribosomal RNA", at positions 386 to 891 of the family's 1533-position model. The record is from RNAcentral.